Molecule: long non-coding RNA, 38728 nt
Filed under: Citrus x clementina
Lineage: Eukaryota; Viridiplantae; Streptophyta; Magnoliopsida; Sapindales; Rutaceae
Description: Citrus clementina (C. clementina) long non-coding RNA (CCLE_LNC005505)
Source: RNAcentral
GAGGAAAAAAAUUAAAAAAAUCCUUGUCCGAAUACAGUACAGUUGCUAUUUAGUCCACUUGCGAAAAAAAGCGGGGGGGACAUUGAUCUACAUUGUCCGAUUUGUCAUUAUGAUGUUGAUUACGAUUUAGGAAAAGGUGAGGAUGUUUCUUCUAUCCCAAGCCGAUGUCCUCACCUAGAGGAUAAUUUAUUUUAAAGUCCCUCUACCUUAUACGAUUAAUCAAUUAAUUUUUUUUUGUCACUUAAAAUCGUUUGAUUAUCUUUGGCCUUUAUUAGCAUUAGAUAAAUUUGAUAAUAUCACCUUACAAUAUAAACUAAUCAAGUUUCUCAUAUAAACAUGUUAUUUUUGUGUCUUGAUAUUUUAAAUAUUUAGUUUAUCACCUCUAAUUUUUUUUUUAAUGUAGGCCAAUAAUUUUUAUGAUAUACUUAAGAGAGAUGUCGCUAUGAUAAAUGUAUAUUUUAAUUUAGUUAAAAAAUCAAUAAUCAAAAUAUUACGUUUGGCCAAAAUCUGAUUUGUUCGAUUUUGGCCUAGAAGCAAAUCAAAUCGAAACCAAUUAGUUUAUGAUUUUGUAAAUCAAAUAUGAACCAAACACUAGAAUAGAAAUUAACUGACCCAAUUUUGUUUUGUUUGUUUCGAGCAAUUUUACCCUAUUUAUUAAUGAAAAAAAAAAAUAAUAGUAAUAUGCUACUACUAGAAUAAUAAUCUUGAAUCUAUAAAUUCACAACUAAUAAAGAAUAUAAUAAGUUGAAUAAAUUAACAUAAUAAAGUCCAACAUGAAAUAAACUUACAUAGUAUAAAAAUCUACUACAAAUUAUGAAUCCACAACAAUAAAUAAAAUAAGAAAGCAAAAAUAAAAAUCACAUAUAAAAUAAACUUCAAGUUCCAUUGCCAAUUUACCAUUGAUAUUCACAACUUUUUGAUUCUUUAAAAUGUCUUUAACAAUAUAUACUAGAACUCCACACUAAGUUACUAACUCACAUCUACAUCCAUAAUACUUAUAUUAUCUUUUAAAGCAAACCACACAGCAAUAAUUAAGUAAAUUAAAAUAAAGUGUCUACUAUCACAAUAUUAAUCACACGUACUCAAUAGCAUAAAAUCUAUUCUAAAUUUUUUUUAUUUGAAUUGUAUGAUUUUUCAGUUUGAUUCAAUUUUAAAUAGAACCCAAUAAAAAUCAAUUGGUUCAAAGAUUUAUGAACCAUUUGGUUUUGCCGCCAAAUCAAACUGCCAUAAUACAAUUCCGCUUGAUUAAUAGAAUUGAAAUGAAAGCCCACCACUAAUAAAAUAUAUAAAGUAAUAUGAAUAACACAUUUUCUUUACUCAUCGGUUUUUCGAUGUUCUUAGAGCAAUUUUAAUUGUCAUGAGACUUUAUAAAGUGUUGCAGGGAAAAAAUUUAUAAACCUAUCAAAACUUUUGCCAAAAAAAUGAUAUAAAUAAUAAUGAUAGAUUAUAUUGAAAAUAGGCAAAACUACGUUGCCACAGUGGUAGUUACCCAAUUGUUUAUCAUGCAGGCUGCAUGUACUAAAUUGUUCACUAAUAUUCAAUGAAUUACAUUGAGCCCCGCAACAACUGCAAGUGACUUCUUUUUUAAAUUAUAUGAAACUAUUACUCAAAUUACAAUUUAAAUAAUUAAAAUGUGAAUAUUGCCCAAGUUAUUUUAUCAGGCAAAGAAAACCAUUAAUGAUUUGGGCCUCGGGUAUAACCAAUUCGACGCUUGUACUAAUGAUUGUAUGCUAUAUAUACAGGAAAGAGAAAAAGUCAGCACUCUUCAUAUUCAGUAUCUGGCGCUUCUAGAGGAGAAAGCCACACCAGAAGCUGCAAACCAAUCAUUUAAUAAUACUCGUAAAAUUCUUUCAAAAUUUUGCGGUAUUUUCUUUUGAUACCAAGGCUUCAAAGAUAUUACAUGAAAAAAAAACAAAACGCAGUUUCAUUUAUGUAGUGGCAUGAAAAUGAUCGUGUCAAAGAUGUUAUGUUGAGGUAUCCCACUGAUUCUGAAGCCUAGAAAAGCUUUGAUGAACGUUAUCCAGAGUUUCGUUCAGAUCCUCACAAUGUAGGAUUAGGGCAAGCAAAUGAUGGAUUUAACCUAUUUGUCACAAUGAGUGUUGAUCGGAGUGUAUGGCCAGUUGUUUUAAUGGUUUACAAUUAACUGCUGCAGAAUUUAAUAGUACUUUUGUGGUUAUUAUUUCAAUAUUAUAUGUGUGAGGUCUUUUGUACCAUCAGUUGAAUUGAAUAUCAUACGGAAUCAUGUCAUGUAACUUGAAUGAUACUUGAAUGAAAUUUAUAUUUCUUAUCUCAUGACAUGUGGUUAUAUUCUAUUAUUGUCAUUGAUGGAUUUCAAAUUGGCAAGUAAAAAUCAUUAUUUAUUAAUGACCUAGAUGAAGACUACUAAGACAAUGACUCAAGACACAUUCAUGUCGCUAGAUUGGAAAAUUUCUGAAUGUUCUUAGAGUACUAUUUUUUUUUUCAUUUACUUCGUAUCAUGUAUAUACUUUAACCAAUCAUUAUGAUAUAUUCGUAUCAGAUGGUGAAUAGAUAAAGAAUAAUCUCCAGAAACAUCUACGACCUUCUCGGGACUACGGAAGGAAGAGCACCACUCUAUGUUGAGAACGGUGUUUGGGAUGGUGAUUUCUCUCAUACAUGACAAAUCACCAAUGCACAAAAACAAUGCCCUAAAUUGCAAUUUUGUUCUGGACUUCGAGUUUGAAUAUCGGUCAGAACUAUAUUGCAAUAUUGCUUUAUACCUAGAAUCUAUUUCAUUCACAAUUAUAUAUUGUACUACCUAAUCGAGAUAAUCAGUUGUUUUCAACUGAUAGACUUAAACUUCCAUUUUAGUUUGUAUUAGUCAAUGUAUCUAGUUGUAUCUAGCUGUUACCCAUAGAUAUAGGAUUCAGUUUGUAACUUCUCUAGUUUAUAGGAUCUUCAAUUAUCUUCUAAUGUAUUUAUAUACGGUUGAUUUAUCAAUAAGAAUGUGCUCAGUUUUACAAAUCUGUCAUGGUAUCAGAGCCGAACCAGAGAUAACAAACUCAAAUAUUCAUUUUAUUUUUCUUCUCACAUCCCAUUCCUUUCAUCACUCUUGAACAGCCAUGGCUACCUCUUUCCCCUCCAUUCUCAGCACCAAUGAAUCCCAAAACGCCCUCAUCAGCAUAAAUGUUGCUGCCCAAACCCCUCUAAAACUCACCUCCACCAACUACCUCUCAUGAUCUUCAAUUAUCACAAGAUUGGACUUCUCUCCCGAGCUCCAUCUUGAGGGGGCAUAAUAGAGAUAAUCAGUUGUUUUCAACUGAUAGACUUAGACUUUCAUUUCAGUUUGUAUUAGUCAAUGUAUCUAGUUGUAUAUAGUUGUCACCCAUAGAUAUAGGAUUCAGUUUGUAACUUCCCUAGUUUAUAGGAUCUUCAAUUAUCUUCUAAUGUAUUUAUAUACUGUUGAUUUAUCAAUAAGAAUGUGCUCAGUUUUACAAAUCUGUCACUACCCUUUCCAUAUAGCAUACCAUAUAUGGAAAUUAAAUUUCAUCGAUGAUAUUUUCAAUCCACCACCCUAAUUGUUUUUUUUUUUCGCUACACUACCAAUGUUCGUCUAUGUUGUAAUCAUUUAUUUAAUUUAAACUAUUAUUUUUUGAAAUGAAUUACCACAAUCCCUGAAUCUCUCUAUUAAUCCUGAAGUAAAAAGAACAUCCUUUGUUUUUUUAAAUUUUCUAAGAUAAAUACUAUUCCAACACGCACUUCCAUGGUGCGAAGAAUGCUAUCCAGCCUUCACAUGCAUUUACUAGCUUGCCGCAUAAACCAUACAAUUUUUAUUUUUAUUUUAUUUUUAUUUUAACUUCUUAUACAAAGUUUUGGUAUUUUUUGACGUUACACUAGUGCUUGGCUGUCAGCAGAUUACCGACAACUAUUGACUUUUCAAGUUACUUACAAUUGUUACCGAUAAAUCUUGGCUUUACUGGGAGAACAUUUGUUCUCACCAUUAAUACGACCAUGUGUUCGAAUUUUCAUAAAAAUAAUUAUGAGGUUUUAUUUUCUUCAUCAUAUCUUUCUAUAAUUUUUACAAUUUUUAGAUCCUCUCUGUCUUUCGCAAUUUAUGUAAAUUUUGACACGUGUGCUUUUUCUCCCCUUAAUUAUUCUACUGUCAUUUUGCUUUCACUAUUCAUAUUGGGAGGGAGACAUUGGCGGCCAAGGCAAGGGAUGAAACUGAAAGUAAAAAGUUAAACGAGACUCCUGUGCGUUUCCGAUUGCUCUGCUGAAAAGCUAAAGAUUAUGAGCUGGUAAAGGGGUUUGGUUGCCGUGGCCUUUAGUUGGCUUAGGAAGAUAUAAGAUCCGUUUGGGGCAACUACGCGGUGGCAGCGCAGCUAUUCCAAACGGGUCUAUAGUUUGUAAUUAUGGUUUAAAAGUUAUUCCAUAUAUAUUAGUUUAAUAAAAAAUUUAUAACAAUUUUUAUUUAAAUUAUUAUUUGAAAGUUAUGUUAUCAAACACUAUCGAUUCUUAUUUUAAAAUUAUAAAUUUUUAUUUCACAACUUGUGCAACUUAUAAUUACCGGCCAUAAAAUUCAAAACGAAGCCUAAAUCUAGAAGGUGCAAAUGCCGCCGAAAUUUUUAAACUUUGGAUGGUCGCUUAAUUUGGUUGUGAUUAUUUGAUUAUUUUAUUGUGAUCUUAUGUAAUGACCUAUUAUAUAAGACUUUAUUUGGAAGGACACGAACAACUGCGACGGAUUACAUUGUAAUGGGAUUCAUUUAAUCACAUAUACACGAGACUAAGAGGUUGUUUGUUAAAUAUCUGAAGUCUGAAAUUUUAUUAAUUUCAGACCUUUUCUAAAAUUUACUUGUUUGUUUUUUUUGAAACUUACGUUUGAUUUUCAGACAUUUACAUCUGAAUAGAAAAAGUAAACUUUUGUAACUUUUAUCUGAAUGGAAAAAUGUCUGAAUGACAAGUAAAUAUUAUAUUCAAAAAAUAUCUCUGUAAAAUAACUUAUUUCUUAAACUAUAAAAUCUAAUACUCUUUUUUUAUUUUAAUUUAUAAGGACAUAAAUGUCAAAUAACCAAGUUUAAGAUUUUUUUAAUUGUAAAAACAAACAAGAUGCCACAUAUAUUCAGAUAUUAAAAAAAUAAAAACAAAUAUGUCAUUUAGAUUUUCGUAUUCAGACCCAUUCAGACUUUAAAAAAAUUUAGACCCAUUUAAAUUUCAGGCAAAAAAACAAACGCUACUUAAGUGUUUAUUGUUUAGAGAGAUAUUUUGGCUUUUAAGUUACAGAUUGUAGUAAAAUAAAAGUUGCAACUACUAAGAAAUUUUUUUUUUUGCGAAUUGGGUAAUCUUUUACUUAUAAGUAUUCUAAGGUAAACUUAACAUAAUUAUGAAGUAAUUAAUAAUUUUUACUGUAAAAGUAAAAGUUAAAAAAAUUUGACAUGCCUUGAAACUCCGUAUGUAACAUUAUAUCCAAAUAAUGAUCAAAGCAUAAACCAAGAAAUUCAAAAAUGGGCGAGGACUGAUGGAAAUUGCAUACGUUUUGGGAAUGAGUGGUACUAUUGGGCUAUUUAUGUAAAUUUCAUCAAAUUAUUCCACAAUUCACGAUAUCAUCAUCUUUGAAGAAGAUCUCAAUGCAUCUAUUUAUUUUAUUUGAUAUAGUAGAUUUUUUAACUCAUAUGAAGAAUCAUUUAAUCAAAUCUCUUAGAAGUAUACGCAUAGGAAUCACCUAUUAGGGGUGUUCAGAAUUCAAUCCAACCCACUUAAUCCGUUUGAUCCACAAAAAUCUUAUCCGUAAAAGUUCGAUUUGUGGAUUGGUAGAUUUGAUUGAAUAAAAAAUUUAAAAAUCCACAGUCGAUGGAUUGAUAUAGAUUUACUUUUGUAAAUCUACAAAAAUCUGUGAAUUCGCAAAAAAAAUAAUUAUUUAAUUAAACAUAAACUUGUGAAUGUGGCAUUACUACUUACUAAUAAAUAAGUUAAAAUGUAGUUAUUUUAAUAUUAUAUUAUAUCUUAUAUGAUAAUAAUAUAAAAUAAAAAUAAUUUAAUAAUUAAAGAAACAAACAUAGCCUCCUAAAUAGUUAAUUUUCACGUUUUGAUCUAAACAAAUGAGAUUUUUUUUUUCUUUUUGGUGUGUUAUAUUUUGAAAAUUUGGAUGUGUUAUUCUAGCUUUGUUUAAGUAAUAAAUUUAUUUAAAUUUUAUUCAAUUUUGAAUUUGAUCAGUAGUAAAAUUAUUUUUUAUAUUAAUUUUUUAUUUAAUUAGUUCGUGGAUUAGACAAAAUUAAAAAUUUUAAAUUCAUAAACCAAUCUACAAAAUGGUGGAUUGGAUAUGAAAUUAAUCAAAUCCGCAUCCAAUAUACAAAUAUAUGGAUUGAUUUUGGAUUGGAUUAAAAAUUUAUAAUCUACAAAAUCGUGAAUUUGAUAUAAAUUGAUGUUCAAUCCACAAAAUCCAAUCUGCAAACACCCUAUCACCUAUUGUCGCAUUUUUUCCCCUAAUUAUUGAUUGUUAUAAUAUAUUUUGUGAAUCCCUUCCCUCCCCCUCGUCGCCCCACCUCCCCAUCCCCCUCCACCCCACACCCACCAAAUAGGUGGAGCAAAUUUUGUUUGAUAAAGCUGUAAAUGUAGCUGUGGGCCAAAGCGGCUAGCAGGUUGGUAAUGCAACUUGACAUUUAAAGCUAGAAAUCGAAGCCUACUUGUUAAUGGGCUGGGAGUUAGAUACACCAAGGCCUAAUAGGCAGUGUAGGCUCUUCUUUAAAAUGAAGCCUCAGGUUCCGGACCCUAGGGCCUAAGAUAUUGUUUGUGGCUGGCACUGAGGUGUAACGUCGUAGCGCCUACUAGUCUCUCUAUGGCUCUAUGCAAAUGCAAGCGUAUGCGCAACAAACCAGCUGAGUAAUAGUCUCAUCGGGCUUGUUUCUUUGUCUCUCACAACUAUCUUCAUUCUUCUUUACUUAGAAUAUUAGUUCCCAUCUUAGAAAUCUCUUUCAUUGUUAUGGGCUAGAUCUAACUAAUGUGGCUGCAAUUUGGUUUAAACUUUAAUUAUGGGACAUUUUUGUUGUAUGAUGUACGACAAUUUAGGAAGCGUUUUAUUUCAUUUUGGUUCUUCUUAUUUUUAUCUUUUGGACUUGAUAAAUUUAGCAUUUGACAAGGUGCUCAAUUAUCUUAUUAUUCUAUUUUCGUUAUCAUAUUUUUUGCUUCAGCUAUUUCGUUAUUGUCAUAUACAAUAUAAUAUUUUUAAUGAGAAUCAAUGUUUUCAUUCAAGUAUGUGCUGGUUUCACAUUUGCUCACAUUUAUUUGUGUUAAAAAGUUUGUGUCUCAAAUAUCAUGGUAUUUAAGCUCGUUAACUUAUUAGGCGAUUCAAAAGUCGAAACUAGCAUUGUGGUCCUAAUUUGGAAACCAACCGAAGAAAAGAAGGGGAAAUUUAUGAAAAUAACCAUAAAACUUUUAUUAUUUUCACAAUUAACCCUCUCAACUUUUUUCUAUCAACAUUAGCCAAACACACGCUUUUUUCCCUAAAUUACCCUUCUUUACAAACCAAAAGCAACUUUCUUUCUCCCCUUUCGUCAAACUAAAGGUAGCUUUCUACUCUUGAAUCAUCAACCAACGGCGACGACAAAAGGCAACGAUAAAAGUGAAAUCCGAUCAUAAUAUAUGCAGAUCCAACAUUAAUCGGUGUCACAUAGUGGUAUGAGUUAUUUUCUGAACUUGCUCGAGAGUUUCAGUGAACUGCCAGUCGUGGGUGAAUCUGGCGACAAGUUGCCUGUCGCACGAAGCUUCACGCGAUAGGGAACCUGUCGCCCAAGGCUUGGAGCGACAGGCAGCCUGUAGCACCAAGCUUCGUGCGACAGGUUGCUUGUCGCCAGAUUCACCCACGACUUGCAGUUCACUGAAACUCUCGAGCAAGUUCAGAAAAUAACUCAUACCACUAUGUAUUAAUGAAAAUAAAUAAAAUAGCUAACUUAGGUUUUGUUGAAGACUGUAGAUGGUAGAUCGAACGCCGACGAUGGAUGAAGCAGCCGCCAACGAGGGCUGAUGUUACCGCCGAUGAUGGGAGUUUGUUCGGUUUGGGAGAGAUGGGUGAAAGAGAGUGUUGGGGGAGAGAUGAGAGAGAGGGGUAUUUUGCUCUCAAAGGUUCUUUUAUGGCUAAUGUUGAUAGAAAUUUAUUUGGGGAGUUAAGAUAAAAAAAAGCCAAAAUUUUUAUGGCUAUUGGUGUAAAUUUCCCUAGAAGAAACGAGCUUAAAUGGACUCGCCAUCAAAUCAUAUCCAUUUGAACUUAAAUCGAUCCACAGUCUCGCAAGCAAGUCAUUCGAUCGUCAAGUGGGAGCUUAAAAUGGAGAAAAAGGACAAUAACGAUUAACAAAUGUGACAAACAAUCACAAUCAAUCAUCUCUCUCUUUUUCACUUUCAUUACGUGUAGAAUGGAUCCCAUCCUUUUGUUUUUCCUCUUUUUUAACCACUUGUGGACGUUUUUCGUCCUGACUGCUUUGGCACAUCAAACACGUAACUCCAAUGAGGCAAUAAAUAUGAUUUUGUCUACUUUAUCUUUUUAUUUGUUCAUCAUCUCUUUGUCUUAGCUCCGGCUUCAUCACAAAGAAACCACAGACAAAAAAGGAUAGAAUUAAAGCACCUCUCACUUUGAAAUCCGGAUACGUACAAUAACAAUUUAGUAUGGUAUUCUUUUUUCUUCUUAGUUCUUUCCCUCUUCUUUUUUUUGGUAGGGGUGGGGGGGGGGGGGGGGUGGGGGGACAUUAUAUUGACUUACAAAUUUGGAAUUAUUGAAAUAAUCAAGAAUAAUAAACCAUAUUGUUGAUUCUAACCCUAAAAAGAAAGAAGUUGAACAUGUAUAACUUUCGUUUCUAAACUUUCUCCCAUCACAUAGAAAGGAAAAAAAAAAAAACUAAACUAUUAUGAUGAUUGAGAAAACUUGACAUUGCCAUUUGUAGUAGUUGCUAGGUCGUCGGUAUUCUCAUUGUUGGUAACGUUGUUUGAUUGGGGGGUGCCACCAUUAAUGAUAGACGUGAUUGCUGCUGCUAAAGCGGCAGUAAAGUUGGGAUCAGCAGCAAUGGCAGCAGUGGCAGCGCUCACACUGUCGGCUAAUGAAUUAUGCUGCUGCCCUUGUUGCAUUGCUGGUGAUGGCAAUUGUGAUUGGUUACCCAAUUGAGAAGGGUCCAUAUCUUGGGACAUUUGUAACCCAGAAAACUUUGAUUGAUUAUACAAUGCUUGCCCAAAUAUCUGAGGCAGCAGUGAACCGGCUGCUGCUGCCGCUGCCCCAUCGGCAAAAUUGUGGGAUGGGUUUGGGAAUGGAACUUGAAAUUGGUUUGGUGACCUUUGGACAUUUGAGGGGUUGGGGGUCUGUGUUAGGUCUAAUGUGACAGUUGGGAAUGGGGCUGAAGCUGAUAUAGUGGCCAUGCUAGAGGAGCAUGGGAGGAGAGUUCUUGCUAGAAAAUUUGCAUUCAUCAGUCCGUCAGCGCUUGACAUUGAACCCGAUAGCAGCAAUCGCGCCGCCGAUGAUGUUGUUGAUGCCAUUGCCAUUGCAGCCGGCGGCAAUGGGUGGUUGUGGUUGCCCUCAUAUGUUGUGAUCAAAAUCGUUCUAUCUUCAGCACAUCUUUGUACCUAUUUCAUUAAUUAAGCUUAUUAAACAUACUUGUUUUCUAAUAAAAAACUAAAUUAAGUAACAUAUAAAUAAAUAAAUACUAAAUACACGAUUAAAAUGCAAAUUAAGCAUAUUAAACAUACUUGUUUUCUAACUGGGCAACCAGCAGCCAUUGUGCAACGAUAGUAAGCUCGAGGACAAGGAUUUCCCUUCGCCAUUUUCUGUCCAUAUUUUCUCCAUUGGCAUCCAUCGUUGAUCUAGAAAAAAUAUUUGAACAAAAGAAAAAAGCUAAGCAAACUUUAGCCAAAAAAUUCAACAACUCAAAUCAGUGAGUUACCUAAUCCACUUCAAAUCAAACAAAUUAUAUUAUAAUAUAUCUCAAUUACCAUGGGAGCUUCCGAUCUGGCUCUAACAGAAACACGAGCCUUCCUCAUCGUGGCCUCGGUUUGAUCGACAUUUUUAGACGAUGAACUAAACUUAGGAACCUUAUUAGGCCCAUAGUUUCGAUCGGGGCUAUCGUCUCUCUUAACGAAUUCCUUCUUGUCUUGACCAAACAGAACGUUACUCUCCUCAUUAUUAUUAGAAUUUCCAUUCACCGGUGAACCUCCGAGGUCGCGGCUCCUUCCUUCUGAAGAAGAAAGCGCAGGCUCAUCAGCAGUAUCGGCUGUAUUAACGCCCAGACCAAGAUCUAUAAACCGCCUCGGUGCCGCAAGCUGUCCUUUCUUUUCUUCAACUUGCCGCCCAUCACUGUUUUCAUCAGCUGCCCUAGCAUUAUGGUGUUGCAUAAAUGCCAUCAAUUGCAACUGUAACGCGUUGUAAUUGUUGGUAACCUCGUUUACCAUGUCCUUUAAACGUUGAUUCUCCGCGUUCACUCGCUCAAGCUCUGCCUGAACGACGGCGUACUGAAGAACAAAACCAAUAGUACAGUUUUCUUAAAUUAAUUAGUCAAAAUUCACAAACUCGAAAAUUUUGAAAAAUAAAAAAAGCUUAAUUAAAGAUUAAUAUUUGUUACCUCAUUUUUAGCUUUUUUAUCUUCCAUAUUUGUCGAAAUUCCAUCAUCGACCGUGGAAUGAUCACUGCUGGUAUUUGUAGUGAGAAGAUUCAACCCAGUCUGUAGCAUUCAAUUCAAAAAAUUUGUGAAUCAAAUAAAUAUAAAAAAAAAAAAUUAAACGGAGAUAAGUCAAUAGCCAUGAACAUGAUCAUGUAGGUAAUACUCACGUUGACGUUAAGCUCCAAUUUGGAGUCUUUAUAAUGGUGAUGAUCGCGGCUGUGGGUAGUCUUGUCGGUGAAAAAAUCCAUCUCAUCAAUGACCUUCCGUUUAUUAUGAUGAUGGUGAUCAUCAGACGACUGCUGGGGAGAAUCCUCAUCAUGAUUAAGGCAGACGGGGAACUGAAUAGUCGAUGGAGUGGUAGCAGGAGACCUCUUGGCAUCCAUUAAAUAAUGGAAUUUGUGGAAGUGGUGAUGAUCGUCGGAGAAAGAAUUGAGGACAGCGGGCUGAUGACAAAGAAAGAAGUUCUUGUUCUUGCCUGCAAUGGGAUCUGAAAUAUUAUGAUCAAUGGAGAGUCCACUUCCCUUGGCCAUAAAUGAAGAAGAGGUUUUGAGAGAGAGAGAUGUGGAGAGUGAAGUCUUGAGACGGUGCAAUGGACUCGGCAAAUAAAAAGGGGGUGGUGACUUUAGAAGAAGACCAAACAGUAGUAUUAGUCAUGAUCACUAAUUGCUAAUUACUAAUUAGUCUUUUCUUUUGUUGCUUUUUACUUUUAUUUUUUACUUUUUUUUAUUAGAUUUGUGUUCUAAGCAAUUGAAGGAAGUUUUUCCUUUCGCUUUUUUUUUUUUUAAAAAUAAAUUCUAGCAAAAAUUAAUGGUCGUCAGAGCUUAAAGUUAAGUCGAGCGAAAAAUUACACUACUAUUUUAAAAAAAAAAUGACACUCAAACCUUAUUAAUAACAAAAAUGUACUGAAAUGCUAGCCAACAUUAAAAUAUCGUAAUGUUUUUAUCUCUUUUCAAAGACAUAAUUCAUUAACAAAAUAGAGUAUCAAUGUCCAUUCUAAAAUGGUGGGGAUUUAUUGUUUAUUUUUUAAAUAUUGGGAUCUACAAACUUUACAACUUGGGUAGAUGUAUUUUUUUUAUUUUUCAUUCUUUUCAUUUUAUUAUUGUUUUCUAUUGACUAAAAAUAUUUUUUUUAAAUUACUACCAUUCAUAGAGAUAUAGAGAUAUUGCAUUACAAUUUGGGAUAGAAUCAACUCAUAUAUUUAUUGAGUAUUGUUAAAAAAUUUACCCUACUAAUAACAUUUAAAAAAAAAAUACACCAUCCUCACAAUCAUGACUAUUCGACUACAAGUCCCAUGGCAACUAAAACAAAAGUUAGUGCAAUGAAAAUUAUACUAUUUUUAAGCUUUUCUAUAGAAGAAAUAUGUUUUUAAAUUUUGAGGGAACAUUAUAAUGCAAUAGAAUAUCAAUUAAGCUUUGCAAAAUUCAAUUCAAUUCAAAGUGAUUUCAAGAUAAAAUUGAAUGCAAUCUAAUUUGAUUUUAAAGAGAUUAAAUCAAAUUUAUGUGGAGAUCAUCCCUAUUUAAAGUGUGACAUUUUGAUGCAUUAAUGACCAAAUUAAAUUUCACCGGUACAAUCUAAAACAAAAAAGGAAAGGAAAGGAAAAGAAAAGAGAAGAGAUAAGAGAGUCAAAAUAUUUUCCUUCAAUUGCAUGAUAAUAUGACAUUUGCCACUAAAAGGGUUGGGCGAUUUGCAUUAAAACCGACUCCCACAAGUAGCUGAGGUGCCAAUGCGACCACCCACGGGGAUGGGCCCACGUGGGCCCCAAUCGGUCAAUAGUGAAAUUCAUUUAAAUUAGAUUUUCGAUUUAAAAGAAAAGAAAUGGAAAAUGAAAAGAAAAGAGGCAGCGUGGAGAUUGACGCGUUCCAAAAAUUCAUCGCCCCGAUUGGCCCGGCGCCUCUGGAUCAGUGAAAAAGGGUAAUCUGAGUCAACGGUAUUGAUGGGACCUAGGGCCCACACAGUUUGUGAGAAUACUGACUCCGUGGGGGCCACUGAUCUCGAUAUAUAUUUGACUAGUGCCACGUAGGACUGGUUCCAUGCGUAUUUUACCGACAAUAACGGGUUGACUCCGUCGCUGCUUAAAGACCGAAUCACUUGGCCAUGUACUCGACUCACAUUGUUUAGUGGUCCCCACACCUAUCCAUAAUUUUAACCUCCCCCCAAAAUCUAGUUAUUUUAUUUUUAUUUUUAUUCUUUUACUGUAGAAUUAAUAGCUUUUUUUUUGUGUGUAUUAAAUCAUAGGUUUCUGAAGAUUAUAUUAGACCCCGACUAAUUCAGAUUCAAGCCGGGUAGGACCACUAGGGUGGUAAAACUCUCUCAAUAAGAAUUUAACACAACUGCAUUCUCAAACCUCGAAACCAAAAAUCUUGGUUAAGUUAGAACAGUCCCAUGUCAGCUAAUCUACGCACUUGUUAGUAACUAAUAGCUCUUUUUAAUUUCAUACACGCUAAUUUAUAUUUCUCAAAAUAAUUAAUUUAUUCAUUUGCUUAAUUGUCCGACCGAAAUUGUUUUCAAAUUAUAAAAAAUUGUUAGCCCACACUCCACAAAGGAAUAUUAAAAGUUGAGUUUAAAUUUUUUGGUUUACUAAUCUCAAUAAUUAGAUCUACAAAAUAGUUGUUAUUAAAAAUAGUUAUUCAAUGAGGUAAAAGUGCACCAACAAAAUUACAUGCAUGUGGGUCAAAUGUGGAUCAUCAAAAAGUAUAGCUCUAUAUUGAAUUUAUCAAAAUAAAUUUAAUUAGAGACAAAUAUUUGCUUUUACAAGAUUUAGUGGAUUCAUAAUAAACACGCAUAAAUAUUGCAUGCAUGCACCACUUGCAAAAAAAAGUAAUAAAUUUCUCACUAUAUUAAACGCAUAUACCUAACUUUUGUCACUUCCAUCAAAUUGGUUUGGCACGAUAUUUCUGCCUCCAUAUCUUCAAAAUUUGUUACAUAAACACUUUUCCCAUUUAAAACAUCACAUUUCAUUCAUUAUUUACAUUUAAAAGGCAUUUACUUAGCCGAGGGUAUUUAUUUUAUUUUAAAAAAAUUGUUUACCAAAUUUUUGUACUGAAAAUUGGAAUGAAUUAAAAUCAAAUAAUUAGCAGACAAAACUAGAUGAGUUUGAUCUCUAAUGAUAUGUUAGGUUGGCCGCAUAAUUUAAAUUGGUGAGUCAAAAAGAGCAAAUCAAGCCUCUUCCUUGCGCUCUCACCCAAACACACAGGCGUCUUUGUAUUGAAUUUGACUGCCCUUUUAUUCAACACAGGACGGUGGUCACGUGAAUUUGCAAAAGCAAAUUAAAGGCUUCUUUUGAAUACUACUGGUAGCUGGUCUUCGAAUUUUAUGAGCAUCCUUUUCGUUUCGUUAAUUUCGGAGUUCAACUAUGGUGCAACUGUGAUAUCAUAUGACAGUUGCUUUCAUCCAUUUAAUUCAAUUAUGGUGAUAAUUGUGUUUGUAUUCAAUAGUUGAGUGUAACUAUGGCAUGGUAUCACAGUUGCACCAUAAUUUUGUCCUUAAUUCCGAUUGAUCAAAGUUUCACACUAAUAAUCAAACAUUUUAGUUGGCAUUGUGGGUAUUUACUUUUUUCUUUCUUUUGAACCAUUUCAAGACAAAAGCCAUUAAAAUUCAUGUGACAAAACACGUAUCAAUCUCAACAAUAACUCUUAUUUUGAAUCCUAUAUCUCUUAUUUUCACAGCAAAAUGUGAAUCGUUUGGAUAAUUCUUUGAGUAAAAAUUUAAAAUAAGAGUUUAGAUAAGCAUCACCAAAAGUUUCUUUAAAUUUUAUUUUUCUAUAGUAAAUUUAAAAAAAUAAAAAAAAUAAGCUUUCUCUUUAAAUAUGAACAAGUUAAAAUUAUUUUAAUCAAACAUUUUUCUCUACUAAAAUUAAUUAUCCUCCAUUUUCUCCCAACAAAUAUAAUUAUCCUCCAUUUCAUUACUCCAAUUCUUUCUUUAUAAGUAAUUUUGUGUUGAUUUUAAAUGUCAUUAUAAUUAUUAUGUUUUAAAUAAGUUUAUCUAUUAAUAAUUCUUAAUAUAUUUUUCCAUUACGUUUGUCCAUUUUUUUAUUUAGUGCAUGCCAAUUAAAAAAAACUAGUAAUUAAUAAAUUAAACAUAUAGUGUUAAUCAUAAAAUUACUUGAAAAUAUACAACAAUUAGAAAAAAUUAUGCAGUGAGAUGUGUAUUAGAUUAAUGAUAUUUAAUAGAUUUCUUUUUAAGGAAAAAAAUAGUAAUUAUAGGCUUUAUAACUGUUUUUUUACUCCAAUAAAAAAAUAAAAUAUUAUUUAAAGAGGGAGAAAUUCACUUGAAAAUUUAAAUAGUGAAAAACAUAUUUUAUUUGGAGAAUCAUAAUCGAAGUAUCAUUUGGAGUGUUUUAACAAUUAUGUGGCUCUUAGAUAAGAUUUACUAUUUAUUUGAAGAGUCUUUUAUUUUAAAUAAGAUUUACUUUUUAUUUGAAGGGUCUUUUAUUUCAAAUAAAACUUACUUUUUAUUUGAAAAGUCUUUCAGUGAUUGUGUAGAGGUAUUAUCCACUAAAGUGUGAAUGUUGUCGGAUGAUUAGAAAAUUAACAAAAAUUGAUAAAAUCUGACCAUGUGAAGUUUUUUAAACAGCAUGAUACAAUACCAUUGGGAUAUUGUAAUCACAGCUCAAAAAUAAUAUAAAUUAAAAAAAAAAAACAGUAGUAACCUGAAUUCUAAAUAUCAAAAUUGAUCCUCCUCACACGAACACAAAAAUCAAGUAAUCACUUUUUAAGACCUCUUUUUUUUUUUUUCCUAUCGCUUUUAUCAAGACUAAAUUGUAGAGAAGGGAAAGAGCAACAAGUAACAAGUUCUUUAAACAAGUAGGGCCAUAAUCAAAAGUGGCUGCACUCCCGGGCACACAUAAUGAAGAUCUAAGACAAAAGAUAUGGACACUCAAAAGGUUAUUAAAAAGUUUCGAUCAAUGUAUGGGACAACUCAAAAAAAAAAAAAAAAAAGCAUAACUAAAACGUGAUUCAAUUAAUAUGGCUCUUUUUAGUCACUAAAAAUUUGAAAAACUCUUAGUUCUCGUUUGAGAUUAAAGUGUCGUUACUUAAAAAAAAAUUGUAAUUAUCAAAUAAAAAUUAAUAAUAUGUAGUAAAUAUAAAUUUUAAAUAAUAAUUUUGACAAAAUUAUUAAAGAUAUAAUAGAUUUUUUAUUAUACAAAUUAAAAAUCAUAUCAACAUAACUUAUAAGCUACAGCAGUUUGUGUUUACCAAAUAUUUUAGUACUGUAACUUUUAAGUUACAACUGUCCAACUUUAAUCACAAACGCACCCUUAAUGACCUAUAGUCCUCCCUUUUUAUCGCCAUGAUUGUAUAUUUUCUCAUUAUUAUUAUUAUUUCUUUUUGUUUCCAUGUUCGAGUUUUCUUUCUGUACUCAAUGUGAACCUGUUUCUUGGAGCCACUGAACAGUAGAAUAAUUGUCGUUAAAGCUCGUGGAAUUUAAACAAAUUGAAGAUUGGCGAGUCUAAUCACAAGAAGAGUAGAGAACAAAUGAAAAGAAAUUACUACGAGAGUGCGUACGCGAUGACAUAAUUAUAGUGUUUUUAGGAGAGGGGAGUUUAAUCAAAAGAGUUGGUCAAUACAUCAGAUGAGAAGUGAGAACGCAUCUUGUCCGUAUAAAUUGACCUUGUCACCAAAAAAAAAAAAAAAAAAAAAAAAACUUCAAUCACACUUAUGCAAAUUAUACAACUGCCCUUUACCAAUUGAGUGAUAUUAAUGCACGGUUGACAAAUUCGUUUGGCAAACUUGCACGUGCUCUACGCCGGCUGGGAGAAAUUCUACAAUAAUAUGGGUUAUAAUUAUAUGAAUUAAGACUAUGGAUAGUCAUAUGGGAGUAUUAAUGUGUUGUUACUCUAUAUAUGAUAAUAGAUUAUAAUAUAAUGCUUACAAAAAUAUACAAUUAGUCUUCAAUGCUGAUGCUCAUCUCAAAAAAUAAAUAGAUGCACAACGCUAGCCGUUGAUUUUUUUUUUUUUUUUUAUAAAAAAAAUACUAUAUAUUUGUCCUCGAUAAGUUUAGUUUAUUAGUUGCAUUUUGUAAAUAAAUAAAAACGUCAGCAGCAGUAAAGCAAAUUUAUAAGAAGGCGAGGUAUAAACGAAAGAACACGAUGCUUCAAUUUCAACACAAAUUAUGGAUCUAAUGACAACUCGCCAGGCCUAAUAAUAAUUAAGGAAUAUUUUAAAAGAUUUUUUAGUGCACUGAAACAAGAGAAAAGUACUCAGAAAGUAGUUGUCGACAGGGUAGUUCUCUACAAUUUUGAUAUUAUAAAAGUGGAUCGGUCGAGCUUAGUCUCAUGAAGUUGAAUAAAAAGAUUAAAAAAAAAAUUUGAACACGCAAAUUAAAUUAUCAAAAUAAAAUAAUUGCACUGAGAUAUGAUGAUGUUAUGCGUACACCAAUAGCCUUUGAAAAGAUUAAACAAACGGAGAAGAGAGGAAGUUUCAUUGAACCAUCAAGAUAAAUGAGUCGUGAAAUAAAGUGCGUACCCAUGAACCUAUCUUAGAACUCAAUACUGAAUUGAUUUGCUUGAAAUUCUACAAAAAAGAUGCUUUCCCACAGAUUUGAUAUCUGUAUUUGUUCCUUUUCAUCCUCAAAUUACGGCAUCGUUUUCACCCUAUUUUUUAUUCUAAUGGAGCAGAGAUAUUAGUUGUUAUUUUUUUUUCCCUUGCAAUAAUAAUGCAUUUAAUAUAAAAUUAAAUAAAUCACUUUUGUCAAAGUUCAAACGGGUUUCUCUCCCGAUUCAAAGACCCACUUUAAUGAUCGAUCAUUUAAAGUUUUAAAUAAAAUUGAUACGGCUACAGCUGCUAGAUAGAAAAAUUAAACAAAACAGAAGUAUCUGUUGCUAAAAAUCAACUUUUAGUGUAGAUUUGAUUCAAUCUCUACUUCGGUGAUUUUUAUAUGAAAAAGGAAAAAAAAGGGUAACCCAUCAUUCGUUGUCAACUUAGCCGCAGACUUGUCCCGUAAAAUUAUGGCCAUGCCACGACCAAACCAUUAGCCCUAGCUAUAUGUAGAUUGUUAACUGAUAGACAACUUUGAGGAGAUUCUGGUUCUUGGCUUCAUUUACAAAUCACAACCCAGAUAUGAUUUGUUUCUCAAAAAAAUAAUAGUUUAAUUUAUGAAUUAAAAGACACUAUUGUCUAUUUGUGACUACGUGAACACCCGAAGAAGGAAAAAAAAAAGAAAAGGUAAUUCUAUCAAGAAAUGUGUGUGCUUCACGGACCAUAUUGCAGCAACAGUACAUGAUUUCGUCUUUCGAAAACCUAACAAGUUAAUAGUAGGAAUAAUAAUAAAAAUGGUACGCAUGUAAACGUGUAUCUAGUUGCAAUUCAUACGUGAUACUAUUUUUGAUUUAACAUGGAGUGAUUGUUAAGUCAAUUACUAUUAUUGGUACGUGAUAUAAUAUUUUAUUAUGCAUAUAUCACACAGAAAUUAAUACAUUGAGUUCCACGAAUUGUCACUGAUUUCCAAGAAGAUUUGGAUCUUGUAAUCCGACACAUAAUUAUUAUGAAUGAGAAAGAAGAUAAUGCAAAAUUAUUAUUAUUUUUGUUUUAAAAGUAGAUCAUAAAUUUAUGUAAGGUUGAAACUUAGAUUUUGAAAAUAGUUCGGUAGUUUGAUCAGCCUGUCGUUUACACAAAAGUCUUUACCAACCAUAAAUUGAAGCUUCUUGCGACUGCUUAAUUUUCCUCUAGCAUAUCUUUUUUCUUAUAUUGAUUUGGUAUAUGCAUGUGUUUCAUUAUAAUAUAUAUAAAAUUUAUUUGAAGGCAGUCAUAAUGCACGUUCAUGCAUAUUAUGAUUGCCUUUUUUUUUUUUUUUUUCCUCUCUACAAAGUUAAUUACAAAUUUGAUAAUAAUAUUUAGUACUUAUGCUAUUUGCUAACUUAAAUAGAUAGUUCAAUGUUAAAGGGUGAACUGUUUGUUCAUGAAUGCUCUGGAGAGGACUUAGGUUCAAUGGUUAGCCAUAAUGAAGAAAUAAUAAACUGAUGAGGCUAUAAAAUAAAAAAUGAAAACUUUAGGGGAUUAAAAUAUAAAUACUAAAAAAUGUGCUUAUCCGUUCAGUAGUUUUUGUUUUCAAAUGUUAAGUUCAAAUACCGUACAUAUUUAUGAUUUAAGACAUAACUUUUAUUUGAUCGAUUAGCAACUAAACGAGUCUAUGCACGCAUUUAAGGAUGAUGUUACCUGACAACUAAACUGAUAAAAUAAUUAUAGAAUCAGAACUAGCUGAAGUGUGAAACCUAACCAAUUAGACUAGCAAAUUAUUAAAGCGAGUUCAUACUCAACAACCAAACCUAGCUAUCCUACAAAGAACAUGUGUGACUUUGUGCUUCAAAGGAGCGUAUGGAAUGCAUGAAACCAUGUGGUCCUCUUGUGAUUUGUAUGUAUGAGAAGUUGGACUUGGAUUGCAUUUGUAAAUUUCAUUAAAGGAGUCCAAGGGAUUAGUUAUAUAGUCUAAUUUUAAUUCUUAAGGAUUUGAAUAUAAUGUUAAGCCGAUCUAUUUUUAACACUUCAUAAUUUUCUACCAAAUGUAUAUGUAUAGUAACAUACGGUUAAAAUUGAAUCAGUUUUAUAUUUUUAUUCAAUAACUAUUAAUUGUAUCUUUCUACAAAGUAAGUAAAAAAGUUAACUCAGUACUGAAUUCAAAUCCAACUGUCAAACCAAAUGUCUUUGAUUUUAGUAAUUUCAAAGAGAUGGGCUAGACACUAUUAAUUAAUGGAUUUUGUACUUAUGAUGUGUUGCAUGAAACAUACAAUGACAGUAUGAGUAAUGAUGCAUUUACAUAGUUUGAAUAGAUAGUUUAUGUCUCAAGUGAUGUAACAUCUAACAUAUCGUUCAUUGAUAAAUGAAGUAAUAUUUACACAUUAAUGAUAGAAAAUAAAAUUAACUAACAUGUAGCGCAUGUGAAAAAUUUUUUUGCGACCUUUCACUUAGAACACAAAUUUACAAUCCUAGCGUUAUUGAUUUUUUUAUUUCCUAUUACAAGUUACAUUUCUCAAAUUUUUAAAUUUUUUUUUUAAAACUAAGAUAUAGCAUAAUUUGAGAAAUGAUUAUGGAGGAUUUUAUUUAAAUAUCGAAGAUCCUAUCUUUUCACCUUGUGUUUGAGGUUGUAAGUAAACUGGAUGUUUAUUGAGUACAUUUAUAGAAGCAAAAGAAUCAAUCUGUGAGGUCUCCUAAUUCAACUGAUUAUAUACACUAAAUUAAUUAUCUCAUAGCAGCAACAGUCUUGAACAAAUCACACUGUCAAACUCAGCCCAACGCUAAAGACAUUAUCACAGUGAUAGAUAUGUCUCAGUCCUCAUUCUACCUGCUCGUUAAUUGUUAAUUAGAAUUUUCAAAGUUAAAACAGUCCAACUAUUUCUCGAAAUUUGUGCAAAGUGCAACAAUUUUCAAACCACAAAUUAGAAAGCGCUUCCAGUUUUUUUGUUGGGUAACCGGAUCAGAAGCAAGCAAGCGUUAACGUCAAUAUGUGUGAACUUGGUUCAUGAGGCAUCCAAAUAUGUAUCUAGGGCUAUUCAUUAUUCUUAAUUCUCGAUCGUUACACGUGGAAAAUUGAAUUUCAUCGACUGUUUUUACGUGUACCAAACCUAGCUAGAAAUUUCAACGAAUUGAAAAUUUAUUGUAUUACUGAUAGACAUCUUUAAUUUUUUUUUAAAGUGAUGCGUCGUUAAUUAAGUAAUCAUAAUUCUUUGUAAGAUUUAAAUGAAUUAAUUACAUUAUCUCACUGACUAAUUAAUAAAUACCUCAUCAUUUAAAUUACUUUCUUAAAAUAAAAAAAUUUAAAAUACGUGGCACCACUCAGUUUUUUAUGGCAGUACUGAAUUUAUUAUUGCGUCUAGUACAACUAAGAGAGUCGGCUCCUCCCACGAGCAUUUCCAAAAAUGCAGCUAAGGGCCCAUCUAAGACCGGUUUCUGCAAUUUAGGUCCUUUCCUCACAUCGUCAAAGAAAGACAACAUCGUUAAAAGUGGAGCUGUCUUUUGAUGACCAAAUGAGUUAAAACGAGAAAAGCUUCAAGCACGCUAGAAUCUGCUUCACGCAUUGACAAUAUUGAAAUAAUCAAAUAGAAGGAGGGCCACACCGACUAAUGAAAUAAUGACUCUCAGUUUCAAAUGUUAAUUCAUUCCUACUUAGUCAUCCAAGUAAUUUGUUCAGCAGAAGUCAUCAAAGCAUGCAGAAUAGUCUCAAUCUCCAUCAUUUUCCAAAUUUCUAGAUAAAGUCAGCUAGUUGAGACUCGAUACUUGAUUGCAAAUCAUAGGACCACAAGCUAUGAAUCUUUUGGUCCAGAGAAGAAACCUUCUCUGCCAAAGUUGUUUUAAUCCAACCGUGUAGGUCCCCAUUAACACAAGUUGUGAAGUUCACCUUUGUGAUAAUCAAUAAGCCUUCAGCAAACAUACAAUAUAGGCAAACUACAAACAGACAUAUCCCAGUAUCGAACCCCUUUGGAAACAAAAGGAUACUUGCAGCUGUGUUAUAUGUAGAGUAGAGGCAUACACACGGUUAUUUAUUUAAUGAUGGAAGCGAGGUAAACACCAUAGAUUCAUAAUACUAGUGAAUUACUUAAGCAGAUAAGUAGCGGGUCAUCCAUGAUUGGAAGCGAGACCACGCCAGCUCAACUGCGGCUGGAUCGUGAUCAUCCAUUCCCAUUUCUUUCCUCCUCUUCACUCCAUCCGGAGAAAUGUUCAUGAAAGCAUGUGCACUGCCAGGAUAAAUAUGUACCUCAUAUGGAACACCAGAUGCUUUCAGCUUUUCCUCCAAUGCUUUGGCAGUCUGAAACUCAGAAAAGAGCCAAAAAUUAUAUAUAUAUUUUUUUAAGAAUUCUUUCUUGGUGGCAACAGCCCACUCAAGUCAUUCCGCAGUUUCACUACUGUAGCAGCAAUUUGAAAAAAUAAACACAUAUUAUCUGACAUUAUAUCUGUAGAAUGAUUAAAAAAUUAAAAGAAACAGUUUCAUGAAAUAACAAAAUAAAUUAUUUAAACAUAACAACUUCAAACUUCAAUUUUUUCUUUUUUUUUGGGUCUUAAAAUAUUUGCUGAUUCUCUCAAAUUUCCCAUGAUCUCAUUACUUCACAUCUAUUCUUGGAGAUGAUGAUAAACUAUUGUAAGGUGUCUGCAUGCUUUAAACAUAAAGGAAGGUUAUCAAAUAGGAAAAGAGAUACUUAUAAACGACAAUGCAGAUAACUUUUUCAUUUAAAGAACAAAACAAAUGCAUUUUUAUAACUUAAAACCUGUUGAAUAAAGCCCAUUAUUGGCAAAUGGACAAAGAGAAAUAUGGGCUGUCAUACAAGCUAAAUGACAGAUAAAAAUGCCAAACAAAACAAAAAAAUUGGCAUUGAUUUAAACAUAUCAGUAAUGAACAGCAUCUUAGGAUGAUGCAGGCAGGUCAAAUGUUAAGUCCCAACAGGAAAAACACACACAACGGUAAUUAAUAUAACUUAAAAGAUUUGAAAGAAAUAGCUGUAAAAAAAAAAAUUGCCGUACUUUCACAUCUGAAAAGCCAACAAAAUUGUCAAGCUCCCCAAAAUGAGCUUGAACAGGUGCCUUAGCCUGGGUAGGAUCGGCGAGCUCAGGUGGGGGAACCCCAUAAAAUGAAACAACAGCAUCAACCUCAGGAACUAAGACAGAACUUGCAAUAGCGAGAGCACCUCCCAUGCAAUAUCCAGUCACGCCAACCUAUUGAAAUUCCAUAAGUUAUUUAUUGAAGCCUGCAUGUAUGUAGUUUUCAGCUAUAAAGCAAGAAAUCAGUUAAUAUGUAGGAUAGGAUAAAGUUUAGCUCUAAGUUUAACAAGAAGUCGUUUCAAUUACCGUUGAAAAUAUCCAGCCAUUCAUGUAUAUAAAUUUUAAGAUGCCACUCAUGAGAUAAGGGAGGCCGAGCUGCACAGGAUGUGGACUCUGUUUUUGCUGAUUUGGGAAACGGGGGUUCUAAUUGGCAGGGGUGGCUAGGUGAGCCAAAACAAUUUGGGCUACCAACACAAUUAAUAGACAACCCAAACAAAUUGUAAACCCAACAAAGCCCAAGCUAUGUAAUUUUUUGUUCGUGUUGCUGUGGGUCAGUAUUUUGGUGCGGGUUUUGGAUUGUCGGUAUUUUUGCACACCCCUACAGAUAGAGAUGCGUCUUUUCUAUAAUGAGUAGUCCUAAAGUGUAUCUCACCACUCUUUAGUAUUUAUUUAUUAUGGAGGUUUUCUGAUAAUGAUGGCAGGUAUAUAUCAUUUUAACCUUUUGUGGUCAAGUGAAGCACAAAUUACUGAAAAAUAUGGGCCAAAAUAAAAUGCAUCAAAUUGAAUUUGACCAUCUGAUUGACUGACACUUACUGACAAAACAUAAGCAACAUGGUUCAGAAGAACUGGAUGUCAGCACAACUGACAGAUCUAAAUAUAAGACCAUGAAUAUAAAACUGCAAUUACAGUUAUGCAUAUGAUUGUGUGAUCAAGUCCUCAUAAUUUGGUAUGUUAAGGGGGAAUAUUUUGAAUCAAACCCAACUUUCAAGGAAGGAGGCGUAUGCCUUACAUAUGCUUUGCAUUCUGGAGCACAACAUGAGACCUGAUGGUGAUGUGAUAUAAUCCUAAUAUUUUACGAAUUAUGAUACAUAAUACUGAUGUCAAGCGCGACAAAACUAUAUAUUCAAACCAUAAAGUGGUACAAAAAACUAGAGCAAUAAUCUAAAGGAAUUUUAAUGAACAUUAUCGACUUAGGCAAGCAGACUGUGCAAACCUUCUUGGAACCAUUUGCCUUAAGCCAAUUAACUGAAGCGUGGAUAUCCUUGACAGCACCUGGCCAAUCAAGACCACUCAUCAAGUGCUGUGCUUCAGCAGUAUCCAAACCAACCUUUCCCCGAUAUAAACUGAAACACGAGGCACAACACUUUUAGCACAUACAAGCAGCAACUGUUAGAUAACCAUAAUAACAAUACAAUGAUAAGAAAAUGAAAUGUAUACUGGUAAUGAUCAUAGAGUCUUACUCUGGUAUAAGUGCCUUGAAUCCAGGGUUUAGUUGGGAGAUUUUGACAGCAUGGUUCUUGAUCUCAAAAUCAACACCCCACCACUCCUGAACUACAACAAUCCCAGGGGCGUCUUCUUUGCCAACCACAUAUGCAUCAAAAGUCUAAUCCAUAAUUACAAGAACAGAAAUCAUAAGCCCACGUCAACCAACGUCUAUUUUUUCCAAUGAAACUAAUAAAACAACACAAUAACGAUUAUGAUUUUUUAUGCCUUAAGCUGAUUAUGGGUAUGUUUGGGUAAAAUAAGAUAUGUAAGUUGGUGCUGGGUGGUAAACAUUAACUAUCAAAUAAAAUAGUGUUCAUCAACACUUUUUUAACUGUUAUUACGAACAUCAGUUACAAUUUACAAACAUAUAUUAUAUCUGAAAUAGUCAAACACAAAAAUGAUUUCUUUUAAUCAAAUUCUUACUGCUACGAGUCUACCCAACAUGUCUCUUCAUAGGAUACAGACAAUUAUGACAAAAUCGUAAUGACCCAUCAAGUAAAAACACCCAAAAAGAAAAAAAAAAUUCAGGAAAGAAAAUAAAAAAGAUCGUGAAAUGAAGCUUACAGUAUCAUCUCUCUGAAUCUGGAUUUUCUUGAAGGGCGAAGCUGCAGAGUCUGCCAUUGAUCUGACUGCAAAGCGAUAACCGGCGGGAAAGUGAGUCCUUGCGAGAGAGGGCUUAAGAAGCGGAGUUGAUCUGCUCAAGAUUCUCGAAGCAGCUGCUAGCAUUAUCUACUCAGUGACUCAGAUCCCUUCUGCCCGUAUGUAACAAUAUAUGUCAGCGUUGACAAACGGUGACGUGUUAUCAAUAAGACAAAGCGGUAACAAUGAACCGUCAACAGGCCAGAACUCAAUUGGGCUCAAACAGGCCGAAAUAGAAGCAGGUUUCUGGACUCGCUUGCUUUAACUUAGGAGUUUAACUAUUGGCACACCUCUAACAUUCUUUUUAAACCCCUUUUCUCUACAUAUUCUUCUUAAUUCUUAAAAUAACCCUCAUUUGUUGUACUUUCUUAAUAAAUCCCUGCAUCGAUACUUUAAAAAAAAAAUUGUUAGGCGCUCUCUCUCACCCUUCUUGCAUUUCAAACUACUUUCAAUCUCUUCUUGAUUAUAGCAUUCAUGAAUUUAUUAUUUUUAUCUAUAUUUGUCUUUGUUUUUCCUAGUAGGUAAUAACUAUACAUAAAGACAUAUGUGCAAAUCUUUAAAAAAAAAAAAAUUGGCCUAAGUAAACAAACUUCACAAAAUUAUAUUUCCUACAAAAACUUUGUUUAUAUUUAGAUCAAAUUCUUAUUCUACGACAAUUUAUUAUUUUUUCAAAUUUUAUAGAUUUAAUGAGUUUAUAAUGGAGAAAAAAUAAGAAAACAUAGGUAGGUUUAAUUAGAUAAGUUUUAUUUUUAAUAUAAUUUAAAUAUAAAGGAUAAAUUUGUAAAUAAAGAGCAAAAAGAGUUUCAUAGGAGAUAUAAAGGGGUGCCAAUAGCGUCACUCUUAACUUGGCUCUAUCUCGUCUUUCCUUUCCGUAAUCAAUUGAGUCGUUAAGUGUUAAGACAGCCAGUUUCGAUUUCGACAUUGCAGCUUGCAGGCUCCAGACAAGAAGUGACUUGUUUCCGGUAUAUGCCUCCACAUUCCUCCGAAUUUCUUCUCCAACUUCUCCAACGCUUUAUCAAAAACUCAAGCCAAAUCAAACAAAUCCAUGCCUUCGUAACCACACACACCCCACAAGACUCCGAAAAUUACAAACUCACCCUUCUUUACAACACUCUAAUCAGAGCCUACCUCAACAUUAACCAGCCUCACAAAAGUCUCCUUGUUUUCACUCGCAUGCUUUCCUGCCAAGCCCAUCCAAACGCCCUCACAUUCCCUUCUUUAAUCAAAGCCGCCUCUUUUUCACCCUCUUUAUCUUCCCUCACUCUCCACUCCCAAGCGAUUAAAUGCGGCGUUUUAGCUGACUCCUUUGUGGGAACAUCAUUGGUGAAGCUCUACUCACAAAUGGAUUAUUUGUGCAAUGCCCGUUUAGUGUUCGACGAAAUUCCCAGUCCUUGCAUUGUUGCGUGUAAUGCGAUGAUUGAUGGUUAUGUGAAAAAUGGCGAUAUGGACUCCGCUAUUUUGCUGUUUGAGAACAUGUUAAAGAGGGAUGUCGUUUCUUGGACUAGUAUUAUUAAUGGGUUUGUAAGAAAUGGUUGUUUUGGGGAGGCAAUUUGCCUUUUUAAGAAUAUGAUGGGAAAUGUAAAUUUAGUGAGGCCAACUGAGGCUACGUAUGUUAGUGUGCUCUCUUCAUGCGCUGGUUUAGUCAAUGAAGGGGGUCUUUAUUUAGGGAAGCAAGUUCAUGGUUAUAUUUUGAGAAAUGAGAUUGUUUUGAGUGUUUUCAUGGGGACAGCAUUGAUUGAUUUGUAUGGAAAGGUGGGUUCUUUAGAAAGAGCAAUAAGGGUUUUUAAAUCAAUGGUGAUUAAAGAUGUUUGCACCUGGAAUGCAAUGAUUUCUUCACUUGCAAGUAACAGUAGAGAAAAAGAGGCUUUAGUUAUGUUUGAUGAGAUGAAGGAGAAAGGGUUGCGUGCUAAUGAGAUUACGUUUGUUGCUGUUCUUACAGCUUGUGCCCGUGCGCAACUUGUGGAAUUAGGUUUGGAAUUGUUUCAUUCAAUGUUGGGUAAAUUUGAGGUUGUACCAAUAAUGGAGCAUUAUGGUUGUGUGGUUGAUCUUUUAGGAAGAGCGGGGUUAUUGAGUGAAGCCAAGGAGUUUAUGAGGAGUAUGCCCUUUGAACCUGAUGCUUCGGUAUUAGGGGCUCUUCUAGGUGCUUGUAAGAUUCAUGGAGCUGUGGAUCUGUGCCAUGAAGUGGGGAGAAGACUACUUGAAUUGCAGCCAAAGCAUUGUGGGCGAUAUGUGGUAUUAUCAAACAUCCAUGCUGGAUUGGAGAGAUGGAAUCAUGCUACUGAUCUAAGGAAAGCAAUGGUAGAGGCUGGAAUUCGCAAAAUUCCAGCGUAUAGUUUGAUUGAGGCAAGUUGAAGCUUGGUGCUAAAGCGGAAUAUUGGCAGAGAAUGAGAUUGUGUCUAACUUUUGCCUGAGAAAAACCAUCGUUAGAGAAUGAGAUUGAGGAUCACAGAUGACAAAGUUCCAAUGUUGACCCUGAUUACGUAUUAUUGUUAUAUUUAAAAGGAAUAUUAAAUUUUAAUUCAUUCUUUCUUUCUCUCAUUCUCUCAUUCCCUUACUUUUAUUCUUUAAUUCUCUCAUCCUUACAUAUAUAAUUCAUAUUUUCUAAUUUAAUCUCAACUUCUUUUCUCUUUUAUUUUUAACAUGAUGUAAUUUUUUUUUUCACUUAUCUUAUUUAUUCUAACUUAUAUUAGUAUUAAAUUUAUAUUUAUUAUGUUAACUAAUUAUUGUGUAUUUAUUUUUAGGGAAUAUUGAAAAUCAAUUACAUGAAGAUGAAGAAAAUCAAGAAAUUUAUAUUCAUUUGUAACAAUUUUCUUUCAAAAAAGGGAUAUUAAAUUUUGUAAUUAUUUUUGUAUUGUUCAUCAGUAUUAAUAAUUCUUUUUAAAUUAAUUAAUUAUGUUUUUAUCAUAACGGUUUUAAUUGUCAUUGUAAUUUAAUAUUAAAAAUGAUAAUAUUUUAACAAUAGAAAUAAUAAAUAAAUGAAAGCUAAAAAUACUUUCAACGACAAAAUUUAAAAAUUCGACGCCAAAGACCUAACGUGACGCUGGUGACAAGAAUUUUUUCGUCGCUAAAGUCCUUUUUUGUUGUAGUGAUUGAUCAUGUAAGCAAGAAUAUAUAUAAAGAUUCAUCUUUCUUUCUUUUUUGAUAAGAAGGUAUACCUCCUCUCAUUCAUUCAACUCUAUAAAUAAAUACAAUUAUUGGGUUGGAACGAGCUACUUCAUUACAAGUUAGUUCUUGAAGCAUUGUGAAUUUUGAUCUGUGCCAACCUUUUCAAGCUUAAUUGAAAAUAAGAUAUAAUACAAAAAUUAUUAGCUACAUAUCAGAUUUAGUUCUUUGCCAUAUGCAGAAAAAAACUAAAAUAUCUCUGCUUUCUGUGAGUCUAAUGUCCUUUUCAUAAGGUGUAAGCCUCCAUGGUUUUGAGAAUUAAAACAUGCGAUUGCAUUUGUUAUCAUUACUACAUAUUAUAGAUGGGAGAAUUAACGAGGUUCGAGGAUUAAGGUGAACUAAUUAGCCUCUAGCUUUCUAGCUUUUCUACUUCAUCAUUUUAGUUGUAUGAUUAUAUUUUGGGAUUAUUGGGUAAUGCUAAUUAUGUUUCCUUGAUUUGUUGUUCGUGAUUCCUUUCAUUUUGAAAAAAAAAAUUACACUCUUAGCUAAUACUUCAAAGUUAAAAACCAUACAAGAAAUUAUUGACUUGCAUCAACAUUCCUUUCUUACUACAUUGCUAUUUAAUUAUCUGAUAAUUUUUGCUAUAUUGCCUGCUGUUUACUACCAUUAUUCACUGAUGUUUUAUCUUCUGCUUCUUGCUAUUUUCUAUUACUAUUCUAUCUACUGUUUUUUGCCACAGUUUGUGUUGCUAUUUUUCAGUAGUUUCUUUACACACUUGAUUUUCUUUUUCUAGAUUAAUCUUGAGUGACCAUAAACCAUUGAUAUUGAAUGGAAUGCUGGAAUUAUUUAAUAGAGCAAGAGGUGAUAAUAGUAGUGAAUGGGGAGUGAGGAUAAGUGAUGAUAGUGGUAUAGGCGGAGUAAUGGGAGGGGAGCUUAACAAAGUAAGUAAAUCUAGGUUGAGAGGAAUAUUGAGAAAGUAAUAAAACAACAUAAAAAUAUUAAAACAUAUAGAAUUUAAAAAAUUAUCAUAUUGUUAGCUUUGAUAUUUGAAGCCAAGCAACAAGUUGUGCUUGCUUUUGAUGUCAGUUAAGACUUAGGGAAAAUGAAUAUGGAAGAUAUGUAUAAGGGAGGGCCUAAGUUACGUGCACGUAACUUAUGUCCCCCUCUCAGCUACAGUACUCGGCCCCACCAUGGGUACUGUAGCUGGGAGGGGGAUGCAAGUUACGUGCACGUAACUUAGCGCCACCCUAUGUAUAAAGAUGCAAUAGGUGUAAAAACUUUUUCUAAUAGUAAUUUGGGUUGUUAUAUUGAAAAAAAUUAAAAACAAAUAUAAUGUGCAAAUGUGGUUAGUUAGUGUCCCACUUUAUUGGAUAAGAGAAAUAGAACAUAUGUAAUGGAUUUUAGGGAUGUAAAAGGCUUUUUAAAAUUGUUGAAGAAAGUACCGUCCAUGAAGAAUAACCAUUUUGGAUUCAUAAAUGAGCAUGGAUCAUCCAAUAGAGGUAGAGAACUUGACCAUAGGGAUCCUGCCAUUCCUAAUGAUAGCACAGUAGACUUUAAGAAAACAUAUGGCAAGCAUAUAAAGGCUUCAAUUACAAUAUAGAUUACUUGCAAUGCAUCACUGGUAAAUCAUAUUUAUUAAAUCAUAUUUAUAUUUUAUCUAUGUAUUUAAUGAUAAUUAUCAGUACUUAUUUAUAUUCCCUUAAUGAUAGGUUUUGCAGAAAUGAAAGUAACGAGAAUCGGCAACUAUGUAAGCACAGUUUAAUUGUAUUGUUUACUCUUCAAUUUUUUUUUAUAUCAACAUGUAGUUUGUGUUAGGGUUAUAGGGCCCCAGCAUACUUCUGUGUGCUUGUAGGUGUAACAUCAUUUUGUGUAAUUUCGCUAAGUGGCAAUAAGGUUGCAUAUGGCGUAAUUGCCUGGCUGUUGGCAUAAUUAUAUAGCCCUUCAUGUACACCCGCCGCAGUAUAAGGAAAUAAAGUUACGCCUUAGCUAUUAACUUAAGCUUUUAGCUUAGUGGUAAGCGCUUGAUCCUAAUGAUCGGUAUCAAAGGUUUAACAUCCUUCUGUGUUACAAUUUGCAGCCCGUUAUGUCCACCCUAAUGUCCACCCUCAUGUUAACCCCACUGCUGUUCCCUCAUAUCCACCCGCCGCAGUCCGUCAUGCCCACCCACCGUAGGUAAUGUGUAGGGUUUAGGAGUUUGAGGGUUUAGGGAUUUUUAGGGUUUAUCUGUCAUCCUCUUAAACCAUUUUUUCGACGAUUACAUGGUAAGUGCUUAAAUUAUUAGUUUUUUAAAUCCAUAUACUAUAAUGGUUAUAAUCUAAUUACUAUAUAUAUCAGCAUUUCAGAACAAACCGAAGGAACUGCCAUAUGCAAUAAUUUCAAGCGGGUGCCAUGGUAGAGGGGGACAUGAGAGAGGUCUUAAGGAUUUAACCUUAACCGGAUUGGUUGAAUACUAGAAUCGUCACUUCAUCUACUACUUCUGUAGUUGCAAUGGUUAUGUCUAUUUAUUGGAUUUUUUUUUUGGUAAGGGGGUUGUGAUGGGGUCUGGGAGGGGAAAAUAGAGCUACCAGAAGUUGAUUUUGUUACUCAGGCCGUGGAUCAGCGGCUUAGAGUCACACUAGAUAGACCGCUUAUACUGAACAGUAAGAGUCAAAGCAUAUUGCUUUAAUCUCAUAACAUUGGAUACAUACCUUGAAGUUUGAUCAACGUUCAACUUAUCUCUUAGGCCAAUGUAACAAAUGAACGAAGUGUAAUUUCAUUUUUUUCUUUCCUUGAAACUUGUAUAAAUGAUUGACAGUGAUUAUUGGCUAAAACAAUAGCAAGGUUCCUAGUUGAACUGAGUUUAUAUUAUAUGCCUAAGAAUUUACUUCAGUAAAAAAGACUUGGGAGUUCCAGAUACAGUAAAGAUUCAAAAUGAUAAAAGGGACUAUUAAGUAGUGGUAAGAAAAUGAUAUUUCCUUUGACAAGCUGAAAUAGUGAUUCUGUAAAUAAUCUAAAGAGUAAGGUGAAAACUGAACAUCUGUGAAAAUUUAUAACACCAGAAGCUUGUAAAGAAAAAACAUAAUGUUGUUGAUAAUAAUUAGGAGCUAAUUUUUAAUUAGUAGCAACAAUCUGGGAUUUUGCAAAUUGAAUUUUUAUCUUCACACGUAUUGGUAGCUCAUGGAGAACUUAUCAUGAUUAGUUGGCUUAGAAUGCCUCAAAUCGGGCAGAUCAAGUACUAGAAAAGACAUUCAGAUGUCCAAGUUAGUGUUUGCUUAAGGUUGAGAAAAGAAGAAGAAGAAAAUGAGAUUUUCUUAUAAGAGUGAAUAAUAUUCUCAAAGGUUAAAGACCUUUUUUUUUUCUUACAAAUGAGUCCCUUCUUUUAGAGAUGAGCCUCUAUUUAUAAAAAUAGGUGGUAUAGAGUUAGGAUUAAGAACAAAACUUUAAUUUUGAGGACACGUGUAAUCAUUUCAGAUCAAUACAUGUAUAUAUAUAGGGGUGGGCAUAAACCCACAACUCAUGGGUUAACAUGGGUCUACCCAAACCCAAACCAAAUAAAAUGGUCUAGGUUGAUGGUUUACCUAUGAGGCAUAGAUAAAUUCUCAAAACUCAAGGUGACAUGUUAGUGGAAAAUAAAUUAAACAAAAUAAAAAAAAUCAAUUCCAAUGUAUCUAAUAAAAAAGAAAUCACAGUUUGGGAACAAGAAAACCUAACUCAAAUCCAAAACCAUGAUGCAAAAAUUCCCAAAUAUUAUUUGUUCGUUCGUUGUCCUCAAUUGAAAUUGCAGAAUCUUGUAGCCCCCUAUUUGAUUAAAUCCUUUCCAUUGAUUUAAGGAGAUUUUGUUGCAAAAACUUCAAAAUUUUCUCUUUUUUUUUGUUGCUGUUGUGGUGGCCAUGUAAUACGUCAACUUUAGAAUAGACUAAUGGUUCAAUUUUUGAGAUGCUCUUGUAUUUGUUUUCAAUGGGUAGAACUUAAUUUUUAAGAAUAAAUUUGUUUAUUUGAUAGUUUAAGUGAUUUGCUUAAUGGGUAUGCUUGGACUUAGUGAAUUUAAUUACUUGGAGUUGUUUGCAUGGUGAUUUAAUUGGAAGAUUUGUUCCUUUUAGAUUUCAGUUUUUGUGAUUUGUGAAUAUGGGAUAUUGGGAUUUGUUUUUUUAUUUAUUUUAUUUCUUUCGUAUUUUUUUAUUAUGCUAUUCUUUGCUAAAGUUAUUUUUAUAACUUUUAAGGUUUGGUUCCUAAAUACCCUUUUUCCUUUCAGAAUUCAAGGUGUAUUAAUUAUAUGAAAAUGCUAAUGAUGAUUGUGUCCAAAUUUGUUUCAUGUGUAGUGGAGUCAGGACGGACUUACUUGGUACUCUGGCAUAAGCUACCAUGCUUUGAUAUUAUUGGAUUUAAUUAACUGAAGCUUAUAAGAUAUAAUAUUGUGUGAUUAAUUGUUCUUGUAUUAGUGAAAUUAACUUUUUGCUUUGAAUUGGUAAAAUUUUUUUUAUUGAAUUGACUCAAAGUUACAUAAUUUUUUUUCAAUGAAUUUUAGAUGGAUGAGAACUCAAGUUGUCAUGAUACUAAUUCCUUGGACACUUUCCCAACUACUCAAAGCAAGAGAAAAAGCCAUCAAAGAGAUAUGAAAUAUGAGACCAUUUCACCAAAUACAUUCUAGGUAAUAUAUGCAAGUGUAAUUAUUAUGGUAAUGAUCAUACUGGUAAGAAUAAACAUGAGACUAAAAUUGGGACUAGUACAUUACGGAGUCAUUUGUUGCAUUGUCUUGAUUAUUUGAGCACAUUUGAGGAUGAAAAUCAAACAACUUCAUAUAUGAAUCUAAGUCUCAUGUCUUUGAUAGAGAAGCAUGUAGAAAAGCCCUUACAAGGUUAAUUAUUAUUGAUGAAUUACCCUUUAGUUUUGUGGAGAAAGAGGGCUUUCAACAAUAUAGUAAGCAAUUGGAACCAAACUUUGAUCUACCAUCUAGAAAAACCCUUACUAGAGAUGUGUACAAAUUUUUUUCGGGAUGAAAAGCAAAAGUUGAGAAACUUUUUUGUUUCAAUAAGCAAAGGGUUUGUAUAACCAUAUAUGCAUGGACUUAUAUACAAAAUUAUUACUAUAUGAUUAUUACAGCCCACUUUAAUUGAUAGUGAAUGAAGAUUGCAAAAGAGAAUUUUAAAUUUUUGCACAGUACCUAACCAUAAAAGGGAGACAAUUAGAAAGAUAAUUGAGUCUUGUUUACUUGAGUGGGGUAUAAAAAGAGUAUUUACCAUUAUUGUUAAUAAUUCUAGUUCAAAUGAGUUGGCUAUCAAUUAUGUCAAAAAGAAAUUGAAGAAUUGGAGUGAGAAUGACCUUGUGCUAGAUGGUAACUUUUUACAUAUGAGAUGUUGUGCGCAUAUUUUGAAUUUAAUUGUAAAUAAAGGGUUGAAAAACUUGCACGUGUCAGCUUUUAGAAUUUGUAAUGAUGUUUAAUAUGUAAAGUCCUCCCCUGCAAGGCUAAAAAAAAAAUUAAAAUAUGUGUGGAGCAUGAAAGAAUUGAAGAUAGUGGCCUAGUGGUUCAAGAUGUGUCCACUAGGUGGAAUUCCACUUACUUAAUGUUGGAGAGUGCUUUAAAAUUUCAAAAGGCUUUUGAGAGAAUGAAGAGUGAUGAUCGACAUUAUGUUUCAUAUUUCAAGGAAGAUGGAGGACCUCUUAAUAAUGAUGAUUGGGAAAAUGAUAAUGUUUUUGUGUUGUUUUUAUAUUCAUUUUAUGAUAUAACUUUGAAAUUUAGUGGUUCAAUGUACAUGACUUCAAACUUAUAUUUUUAUGAAAUGUGCUCAAUUCAUUCCAACUUGACAUCACUAAUUGAAAGUGAUGAUGAUCCUAUCUUAUCUAAAAUGGCAACAAGUAUGACAAAUAAAUAUGACAAAUAUUGGGGGUCAAUUGAUAGCUUGAAUAAUUUAUUGUUCAUUUAAGUUAUUCUUGAUCCACGUUAUAAGUUAAAAUAUGUGAAUUUUGGUUUGAAGACAUUUUUGUUAUUAAUGAGGUUGAGAAGAAGUCUGAAGAGGUGAAAAAUCUUUUAGUACGUCUUUAUAAUUACUAAAAAGAUCUUGACACUAAUAUUGGUAGUUGUAGAUCAUCUAGUGGUGUUGUAAGUCGUCAAUUGUUGAUAGUAGGAAAUUUCAUAAAAAUGUGGGGUUUUAUGAACUUUCAAGUGUUGCAAAGUUCAAACAAAGAGUAGGAAUAGAUGAUUGUGUUGAGAUGAAAAAUGAGUGGAGAGGUACUUGUUGGAAUCACGUGAACAUGUUGAUGAUGACGACUUUGAGAUUUUGGUAGGAUAAAACUGAAUUCAAUAAAAUAUCGAGUUUUUCCACACAUUGCAAAUGAUGUGUUUGCAAUUGCAAUAUCUACGGUAGCUUCAGAAUCUGCAUUUAGUAUUGGAUGACGCAUCAUUGAUUCAUUUCAUAGUUUUUUAAGUCCAAAGAUAGUUGAAGCUUUGAUAUACUCACAAAAUUGGUUACGUAACACUUUUGUCCCAGUACAAUGAUGAACCAACAAUAGAAAAGCUUGAGUUUUAUGAAGCCAUGACGUUAGGUAACUAUUUAUCAUAACAAGUAAAAAUAUUUAUGUAUUUGUUUAUCACUAUUCUUUUUUUAUUAAUUUAUUUUUUAAAUGUAUAAUUUGGAUCAAGUGUAACAACAGAGGCGAUGGCUUUGAAUUGAUGUUAUUCUUACGAUUUUAGUAUGAAUCAUGUUCUUUUGUAAAUUUACUCAUAUUUAUAACUAUUCAAUAUCAUUUUUUUAAAUUUAUUUUUUGGUGAAGUACCAAACUCAACUGAUCAUGAAAUCUCUUGAUUAAAGUAGUAAAGUACUGCGUACUUGAGUUGGGAUAUUUUAUUUUGUUUUGAUUUGUAUGAACAUUGUUAGAAUGGGUGUUGUAAUAUGGUUAAUACUAUUAGCUUUUUAUUUUCUUUCUUCUAAUUUAUUUGUUGAUGUCAUGUUUGUGGAAAUUUAGUAUUAGAGUUUACAUUCUCAUAUAUUGAGAAAUAAUGAUUUUUCGUGCUUAAACUUUAUUUUAAUUUUUUAGUAUUAUUUAAUUUAAGGAUGAAGUUAUUGUAAAAUCUAUUAUUUAUAAUUUUUUAUGCACUAUAUUUUUUUUAUAUUUUAAUAUUAAUUUAAUAAUUACUAAGAAAUAAUUAUUAUUAAAAUUUGAUAUAAUUAAAUUUAUCAAAAUAAAAAAUAUUUUAAUCAUAAAAUUCAAACCAAACUCAAAUGAAUUGAUUUCGAUUAAGUUAUAAAUAUUUGAAUUGGUUUAGGUUGGGCUUAAACUUUUAUAAGUUAGUUUAGAUUGACUUAAAACUCAAACCAACCAACCUAUGCCCACCCAUAUGUAUAUGUAUUUAUACGAAGGAAUUUCAUGCAUUAUUUUGUGGGUGUCCUGUUCCUCUUCCCAUGGUUCCUUACUUAUUCUGGAUGUCAUCGUAUUGGGAAUUAUCUUUCCUGAGUUAAUGCUCCUGAUCAUGGUUUCCUUACUUUAAUCAUUUCGGAUGUAAUCUUAUCCGGAAUAAUAUUUCCUUAGUUAAUUAAGAGGGACACGUGAAAAGAUGUGAUUUCUUAAGAAAUUAGGUACCCACACAAAUCAACCAAGACAGUGGACAUCACAUCAACCGUUCCCAGUUGAGGUCUCGUGAGUGGUUUCAGCCAUCAUGUCAAUGCAGUGGUACAGAGCUGGCGUUAUCGAAAUCUUUUUGCUUCGCUGACGCCAGAAGUGAUGCAUGUGAUUUUGGUGUAUUAUAAUAUUAUUUAUAUUAAAAUAAUAUUAAAUUUAUAUUUAAAAAAAAAUUAUAAGAAAUUGGAGUGCGGCUAAUUCGUCAACUGACGCAUUAAUUAAUCCCGACUCAUUUUUAUUUUAUUUAUUUUUUUUUGAACUUUUGCUUUUAACUUUUGCUUUUUAUUUUAUUAUUAUUAUAAUACUAAAAUAAUAAAUAAAUAUAAUUUUUAAUUUAAUAUAAUAUUUUUAAUUUAUUUGUUUUUAUAUUAUAAUUAUUAAUAUAAAUUAAUAAAUAAAUAAUUUAUCAUUCAAUAAUAGUAUUUUUUUUUAUUUUUACAUUAUAAUUAAUUAAUAAAUUUAUAACUUAUUAUAACUAAUAAAAAUAUUUAAAUAUGAAUAAAUUUGAAUAAUAUUAAUUUAAAAUUAAUAAUAAUAUAAAUAAUAACAUAAAAUAUUAAUGUAAUUUAAAUAUAUUAAUAUAAUAUAAAACAUUAAUAUAAUAUAAUAUUUAAUUUAAAUUAAUUAAAAAAAUAAUAUAGUACAGUGCAACACUAAACAUUAUAUAAUAUUAUUAUAAUACAGUGUCAAUGCAAUACAAUAUAAUACAACACAUCAGUAUUAAAAUAAUAUAAUAUAAUAUAAUAUAAUACAGUGUGACAAACACACCCUAAAUUAUUUAAAUUUAGUCUAUCAUUGCCCGCAAAAUGACAAAAGCAGAAAAAAUUAAAUAUGCUGGAAGGGAUGGAUCAAACAAAAGAAGUUGUGUUGUUUCUAUCAGGUCGCCCAGAAACUGAGAUGUCAUGCCUUAUGUCAUUAGCUGAUCGCUUGCCCCAACGUUACAUCGUAUGGUCAUAUGUAGAUAUAUAGGGCAAUCUUUAGUGUUAAUCAAAGGCUAUGAUCGUACUUUAGCAUGGUGCUGCUGGCUUCAAACUUGAGUCUAUAGCUUCUCAAACGAUAUUCUCGGAGAACUGAAAGUAGCAUUAUUGAUGGAAUUAAUCUCUGUACCUUCAUCAAGUGGUGAAUCUACAACGUUAACUUCAGAUGCAAAACAAACCCACUUAAUAAAUAACCACACCUGUUGACGCCUAGACACCUCAUACAGAGAAAGACACUACUAGAACACCAAAAUAAAUUUCUUAAUCUUACAACGAGCUCAUGGCCAAUCCAGAGACAAAGGAAUCAUCUGAUCUAUUCGAAAAAGUUUUUCAUAAGAAUACUACUCAUAGAGUUUUUGGUGUCACCGUCUUGAUCCUUCUUCUCUGUCUUCUCUUAUGUCGCCUCUUAUCUUUCAAGUAUCAUGGAUUUGCAUUUGCUUGGUUUCUUGCUUUUCUAUGUGAGUCUUGUUUUACUUUCAUCUGGAUUCUCAUCGUCAACUGCAAGUGGACUCUUUUAACCUACAAAACAUAUCCCCAAGUCUCCAAGAAAGGCAACAAAUUAAAUAACGUUAGCAUUAAUAAUAUCCGCAUCAUUUGCAAUUGUCUUUGUCAUUUUGCACGUCAAUACACACACACACACACACACACACACAAUACCAAAUGGGUCAAAAUCAUCUCCAAGUUGCAUCACGUGCCAAGACUUUUCCAAAUUUGAGUCAAAAGACUUGCGAUUUCUUGGCCACUGACAAAUAUAGAAAACGGAUCGAUAAAAUUUUAUCCUCAAAUAAGGAAAUGCUCCUUCUAGCUUCUGAAAUCUACAAUGGGCUUAUCAGAGAGACGUGUUUUAGUUUACAAGAAUUUGAUAAAUAAACUGUAUAUGCUUUUAUUUAUUUUAUAAAAGAACACAUUAAUUAUAUCUGAGCAAAUUAACUCUCAGUGAUUCACAUUUCAUUUUAAAUUAAUUCAAGAAUAUGUAAGCAAAACAGAAUGUUGUUGAUAAUCAUUUUAAGAAAUGAAAUACUUAAGAAGCAGCAGCAGCAAUACAUUGGCAUUUGCCAAUCAAACCAGCUGAAACAGUAGAGAUCACAUGGAUCAGUAGUGGUGGGGUUAGCUUUGAUCAAAUCAUAUCAAAAGAUUUAAAAUUUUGAGAUGAUCUCGUUCUUGUGAACGGUGGCACUUGUGCACAAGCGACACAGCUACGUAUCAUAUCAUUGCAGCACUGCAGGGAAAGGCAAAAAUCUAAAUUUUCUCGAGAUUUGAUGUUGUUUGUAUCAAAUCGUCCAGAAACUCAGGCAUCAUCCCAUGCGUCACUCUUUCUGCAAAAAGUGAGGGUAAAGAUUAUGAUUAGUCUGUAAUCUGUCUUACGUUCUUGUUCAGCUGAAACUUGGCCCUACAGCACUUCGCACUUUAUCUUCAAAUUUGUGGUAUCCACAGUUUCUCUAGAAUGUACGUUAGCCUGAAAAUGAAAUAAAAAAUUCUCAGAAAUUUUUAAGUUUCAUUAUUGAAUUUGCUUUGAUUGCUCAUCUCGAAACACUCCACCAACUCAACUCUUACUCGCCCUCUUGAUUUCAUUGUCUAGAUUAAUUAAUUAAUUGUUGGUUUAAAUGAAUCACAUACUCCAUUAGUGUACUCUACAACUGUCUAAACUAUAAUAUCAAAUAGGACUUUAUUGAAUGAAUGGCAAAUUAGGCUAUAGUUACCUUACAUUAUUAUGUAAGGUACAUAAUUCUUCCACAACCGUUUGAUGAAAAUCUAACAGUUGGGGAAAUAACAUGAUUUUAUUAUCUUAUAUUUCCACAACCGCCGUUUAAUUUUCAUCAAAUGGUUGUGAAAAAGUUAUGUAACUUACAUAAUAAUAUAAGGUAACAAGCUCUGACAAAUUAUGAUUUACAGGUGCGAUACAAAUCUAUUGCCUGCAAUCAUAGUAUUUAUACAUAGGCUGUCUGCAUAAAAAAAUUUGUACUAUAAUUACUUGAAUAUAUUAAUAUAGCAUUUGAGAGUGAGAAGUUAUUUAUUUAAAAAAAAAUGUGAAUACAUUAGACAUGUGAAAGAAUAUUAUUUUUUAUAUAUGAAUUCUUCAAAAUAAAUCACGUGUAAUUGUAAACAUUGUCACCACAUAUAUAAGAGUGCAAAUUGAUUAUAGUGCAGCAGUUUAUGGUAGAUGUCGGAUGGCCAGUCAAUUUGUACGUCGACGAAGAAUUUAGAAUUUUACUGUCUUUUAAAACUUAAAGGGAAACUAAUUAGUGUUUUCAAUGAAUGAGAGGUCCUAAAAAUUUAUUCUGAAAUACACACACACACACACACCACAAAUUUACCAUAUUCUCACAAGCUCUUAUACCAUCCUUUGAUUCUUUUCGGCUAAGGAUAUGCGCUUCAUCACCACAUAUGCAACAAAUGGUCAUUCUUGCAACUAUAAAACCUACUAAAUACCUUUAAAAACCCACAUCUAUUAAUGCCGAAACACCAAAAAUAAAAAAAACGAGUACUUGUUUUUCAAGCUCAUGGCCAAUACAAAGUCGUCAUGUCUCCCUCUAUACGAAAAAGUUUUUCAUAAAAACACAUAUCAUAGGGCUUUAGAUGUUAUCAUCUUGUUCCUUCUUCUAUGUCUGCUCUUCUAUCGGCUCUCAACGUUGAAGAAUCAUGGAUUUGCUUGGUUUCUUGCUUUUCUAUGUGAGUCUUGUUUUACUUUCAUCUGGAUUCUCAUCGUCAACUGCAAGUGGACUCCUUUGACCUACAAAACAUAUCCCCAACGUCUCCAAGAAAGGUAACAAAUCAAAUAACGUUAGCAUUAAUAAUUUCCGCAUCAUUUGCAAUUGUCUUUGUCAUUUUGCAAGUUACUACACACACACACACACACACAUGUGUACGACUCAACAGGAUA